Molecule: non-coding RNA, 87 nt
Organism: Gossypium raimondii (Peruvian cotton)
Lineage: Eukaryota; Viridiplantae; Streptophyta; Magnoliopsida; Malvales; Malvaceae
Source: Rfam
CAUUUCAGCGCGAUUUGCUGACGUGGACACAAAUCGCGUCCUCUGAAACGCGAUUUGUUGCUAUGUCAGCAAAACGCGCUGACGUGG